RNAcentral lists this ribosomal RNA (412 nucleotides) under Verrucomicrobiota bacterium. RNAcentral's name for it is "Verrucomicrobia bacterium partial 16S ribosomal RNA". It matches the Rfam family "Bacterial small subunit ribosomal RNA", at positions 355 to 776 of the family's 1533-position model. Lineage: Bacteria; Pseudomonadati; Verrucomicrobiota. The record is from RNAcentral.
UGGGGAAUAUUGCGCAAUGGGGGAAACCCUGACGCAGCGACGCCGCGUGCGGGAUGAAGGCCUUCGGGUUGUAAACCGCUUUUGAUUGGGAGCAAGCCUUUUGGGUGAGUGUACCUUUCGAAUAAGCGCCGGCUAACUACGUGCCAGCAGCCGCGGUAAUACGUAGGGCGCAAGCGUUAUCCGGAAUUAUUGGGCGUAAAGAGCUUGUAGGCGGUUCGUCGCGUCUGGUGUGAAAGCCCAUCGCUUAACGGUGGGUUUGCACCGAGUACGGGCGGGCUAGAGUGCAGUAGGGGAGACUGGAAUUACCGGUGUAACGGUGGAAUGUGUAGAUAUCGGGAAGAACACCAAUGGCGAAGGCAGGUCUCUGGGCUGUUACUGACGCUGAGAAGCGAAAGCGUGGGGAGCGAACAGG